UCAAAUGAGGAAAAGCUUACGGUGGAUACCAAGGCACCCAGAGACGAGGAAGGGCGUAGUAAGUGACGAAAUGCUUCAUGGAGUUGAAAAUAAGCGUAGAUCCGAAGAUUCUUGAAUUGGUCAACCUUUCAAACUGCUACCGAAUCCAUGGGCAGGCAAGAGACAACCUGGCAAACUAAAACAUCUUAGUAACUAGAGGAAAAGAAAGCACAAGUGAUUCCCAUAGUAGCGGCGAGCGAAAUGGGAGCAGCCUAAACCGUGAAAAUGGGGUUGUGGGAGAGCAAUACAAGCUUCGCGCUGCUAGGCGAAAGAGUGGAGUGUUGUACUCUAGAUGGUGAAAGUUCGGUAGCCGAAACCAUCACUAGCUUACGCUCUGAUCCGAGUAGCAUGGGGCACAUGGAAUCUCAUGUGAAUCAGCAAGGACCACCUUGUAAGGCUAAAUACUCUUGGGUGACUGAUAACGAAGUAGUACCGUGAGGGAAAGGUGAAAAGAACCCCCAUCGGGGAGUGAAAUAGAAUAUGAAACUGUAAGCUCCCAAGCAGUGGGAGGAGCUCAAGGCUCUAACCGCAUACCUGUUAAAGAAUGAGUCGGCGACUUAUAGGUAGUGGCUUGGUUAAGGGAACCCAUUAGAGUCGUAGCGAAAGUGAGUCUUCAUAGGGCAAUUGUCAAUGCUUAUGGACCCAAACCUGGGUGAUCUAUUCAUGACCAGGAUGAAACUUGGGUGAAACUAAGUGGAGGUCCGAACCGACUGAUGUUGAAGAAUCAAUGGAUGAGUUGUGGUUAGGGGUGAAAUGCCACUCGAACCCAGAGCUACUGGUUCUCCCCGAAAUACGUUGAGGUGCAACAGUUGACUAGAAAUCUAGGGGUAAAGCACUAUUUUGCUGCCGGUCGCGAGAGCGGUACCAAAUCGAGGUAAACUUUGAAUACUAGAUAUGACCUCAAAAUAAUAUAGGCCAAGGUCGGCUAGUGAGACGAUGAGGGAUAAGCUUCAUCGUCGAGAGGGAAACAACCCGGAUCAGCAGCUAAGGCCCCUAAAUGACCGCUCAGUGAUAAAGGAGGUAAGGGUGCAGAGAUAGCCAGGAGGUUUGCCUAGAAGCAGCCACCCUUGAAAGAGUGCGUAAUAGCUCACUGAUCGAGCACUCUUGCGUCGAAGAUGAAUGGGACUAAGCGAUUUGCCGAAGUUGUGAGAUGUAAAAAUGCAUCGAUAGCAGACCGUUUCGCCUUAGAUGAAAGCACCAGGGCGAGCGGCGAUAAACAAAGCGGAAGUGAGAAUGUCGGCUUGAGUGACACAAACAUUGGAGAGAAUCUAAUGCCCCGAAAACCUAAGGGUUCCUCCACAAGGUUCAUCCACGGAGGGUGAGUCAGAGCCUAAGAUCAGGCCGAAAAGCGUAUUCGAUGGACAACAAGUGAAUAUUCCUAUACUACCCCUUGUUGGUCCCGAGGGACGGAGGAGGCUAGGUUAGCUGAAAGAUCGUUAUCGGUUCAAGGAUGCACGGUAUCCUUAUUUUUUUAGGGUAAGAAGGGGUAGAGAAAAUGCCUCGAGCCAAUGUUCGAGUACCAGACGCUACGGCGCUAAAGUAACCCAUGCCAUACUCCCAGGAAAAGCUCGAACGACCUUCAACAAAAGGGUACUUGUACCCAAAACCGACACAGGUAGGUAGGUAGAGAAUACCUAGGGGUGCGAGAUAACUCUCUCUAAGGAACUCGGAAAAUAGCUACGUAACUUCGGGAGAAGGGGUCGUAGUGACCAGGCCCGGACGACUGUUUACCAAAAACACAAGUCUUGACAAAGUCAAAAGACCAUGUAUAAGGGCUGACGCCUACCUAGUGCAGGAAGGUCAAGGAAGUUUGUGAUCGGAUGACAGGGGAGCUGACGACCGAAGCCCAGUGAACAGCAGUCGUAACUAUAAUGGUCCUAAGGUAGCGAAAUUCCUUAUCGGGUAAGUUUCGACCCGCACGAAAGGCGUAACAAUCUGGGCAUUGUCUCGGAGAGAGGCUCGGUGAAAUAGACAUGUCUGUGAAGAUGCGGACUACCUGCACCUGGACAGAAAGACCCUAUGAAGCUUCACUAUUCCCUAGGAUUGGAUUUGGGCCCUUCAUGUGCAGCUUAGGUGGAAGGCGAAGAAGGCCCCUUUCCGGGAGGGUCUGAGCCAUCAGUGAGAUACCACUCUAGAAGAGCUAGAAUUCUAACCUUGUGUCAGGACCUCCGGGCCAAGGGACAGCCUUAGGUAGACCGUUUCUAUGGGGCAUAGGCCCCCUAAAAGGUAACGGAGGCAUGCAAAGGUUUCCUCGGGCCGGACGAAGAUUGGCCGUCGAGUGCAAAGGCAGAAGGGAGCUUGACUACAAGACCCACCUAUCUAGUAGGGACGAAAGUCAGCCUUAGUGAUCCAACGGUGCCGAGUGGAAGGGUCGUCGCUCAACAGAUAAAAGUUACUCUAGGGAUAAUAGGCAGAUCUUCCCCAAGAGCUCACAUCGAUAGGAAGGUUUGGCACCUCGAUGUUGGCUUUUCGCCACCUAGGGCUGUAGUUUGUUCCAAAGGUUGGGUUGUUCGCCCAUUGAAGCGGUACGUGAGCUAGGUUCAGAACGUCAUGAGACAGUUUGGCCAUAUCCAGUGUGGGCGUUAGAGCAUUGAGAGGACCUUUCCCUAGUACGAAAGGACUAGGAAGGACGCACCUCUAGUGUACUAGUUAUCAUGCCCACGGUAAACGCUGGGUAGUCAAGUGCGGAGUGGAUAACUGCUGAAAGCAUCUAAGUAGUAUGCCCACCUGAAGAUGAGUGCUCUCCUAUUCCGACUUCCCUAGAGCCUUCGAUAGCACAGCCGAGAUAGCGACGUGUUCUCUUCCCUUACGAGGAUGGAGUGACAAAAGUUUUGAGAAUUCAAGAGAAUGUCACGGCGAGACGAGCCGUUUAUCAUUACGAUAGGUAUCAAGUGGAAGUACAGUAUGCAGCUGAGGCAUCUUAACAGACUGGUAGACUUUAACCU
This 2984-nucleotide ribosomal RNA is filed under the name Viola pubescens var. scabriuscula. RNAcentral describes it as "bacterial LSU rRNA". It matches the Rfam family "Bacterial large subunit ribosomal RNA". The record is from RNAcentral. Lineage: Eukaryota; Viridiplantae; Streptophyta; Magnoliopsida; Malpighiales; Violaceae.